GACGAACGCUGGCGGCGUGCUUAACACAUGCAAGUCGAGCGGUAAGGCCCUUUCGGGGUACGACGAGCGGCGAACGGGUGAGUAACACGUGGGUGACCUGCCCUCCAGCUCUGGGAUAAGCCUGGGAAACCGGGGUACUAAUACUGGAUAUGACUCCAUGACGCAUGUUGUGGGGUGGAAAGCCUUGUGCGGCUGAGGAUGGGCCCGCGGCCUAUCAGCUUGUUGGUGGGGGUGAGGCCUACCAAGGCGGCGACGGGUAGGCCGGCCUGAGAGGGCGACCGGCCACACUGGGA
This 293-nucleotide ribosomal RNA is filed under the name uncultured bacterium. RNAcentral describes it as "partial 16S ribosomal RNA". It matches the Rfam family "Bacterial small subunit ribosomal RNA", at positions 28 to 318 of the family's 1533-position model. The record is from RNAcentral.